GGAGGGAUGGCCGAGUGGUUUAAGGCAGCGGUCUUGAAAACCGCCGAGUGUAACAGCUCCGUGAGUUCGAAUCUCACUUCCUCCGCCA
This 88-nucleotide transfer RNA is filed under the name Pokkaliibacter plantistimulans. RNAcentral's name for it is "tRNA-Ser". It matches the Rfam family "tRNA". From Rfam's summary of the family: Transfer RNA (tRNA) molecules are approximately 80 nucleotides in length. Their secondary structure includes four short double-helical elements and three loops (D, anti-codon, and T loops). Lineage: Bacteria; Pseudomonadati; Pseudomonadota; Gammaproteobacteria; Oceanospirillales; Balneatrichaceae. The record is from RNAcentral. RNAcentral also lists the same sequence under 1 other name.